RNAcentral lists this unclassified non-coding RNA (220 nucleotides) under plant metagenome. RNAcentral's name for it is "partial contains small subunit ribosomal RNA, internal transcribed spacer 1, and 5.8S ribosomal RNA". The record is from RNAcentral.
UUUCCGUAGGUGAACCUGCGGAAGGAUCAUUACAGAGUUCAUGCCCUCACGGGUAGAUCUCCCACCCUUGAAUAUUUAUACCUUAGUUGCUUUGGCAGGCCGUGGAAACACCAUGGGCUCCGGCUUAUGCGUGCCUGCCAGAGGAAACAAACUCUGUUUUUAGUGAUGUCUGAGUACUAUAUAAUAGUUACAACUUUCAACAACGGAUCUCUUGGUUCUG